This 320-nucleotide ribosomal RNA is filed under the name uncultured Prevotella sp. RNAcentral's name for it is "bacterial SSU rRNA". It matches the Rfam family "Bacterial small subunit ribosomal RNA", at positions 28 to 339 of the family's 1533-position model. The record is from RNAcentral. Lineage: Bacteria; Pseudomonadati; Bacteroidota; Bacteroidia; Bacteroidales; Prevotellaceae.
GAUGAACGCUAGCUACAGGCUUAACACAUGCAAGUCGAGGGGCAUCAGGGAGAUAGCUUGCUAUCUCCGCUGGCGACCGGCGCACGGGUGAGUAACGCGUAUCCAACCUGGCCCUCAGUAGGGAAUAGCCCGGCGAAAGUCGGAUUAAUGCCCUAUGUUCUCCUUUGCGGGCAUCUAACGAGGAGCAAAGAUUCAUCGCUGAGGGAUGGGGAUGCGUCUGAUUAGCUUGCCGGCGGGGUAACGGCCCACCGGGGCGACGAUCAGUAGGGGUUCUGAGAGGAAGGUCCCCCACAUUGGUACUGAGACACGGACCAAACUCC